GAUGAACGCUAGCUACAGGCUUAACACAUGCAAGCCGAGGGGAAACGACAUCGAAAGCUUGCUUUUGAUGGGCGUCGACCGGCGCACGGGUGAGUAACGCGUAUCCAACCUGCCCACCACUGGGGGAUAACCUGGCGAAAGUACGACUACUACCCAAUGAUAUCUCUAGAAGACAUCUGAAAGAGAUUACAGAUUUAUCGGUGAUGGAUGGGGAUGCGUCUGAUUAGCUUGUUGGCGGGGUAACGGCCCACCAAUGCUACGAUCAGUAGGGGUCGUGAGAGGAAGGUCCCCCACAUUGGAACUGAGACGCGGUCCAAACUCGUACGGGAGGCAGCAGUGAGGAAUAUUGGUCAAUGGACGGGAGUCUGAACCAGCCAAGUAGCGUGCAGGAUGACGGCCCUAUGGGUUGUAAACUGCUUUUAUAAGGGAAUAAAGUGAGUCUCGUGAGACUUUUUGCAUGUACCUUAUGAAUAAGGACCGGCUAAUUCCGUGCCAGCCGCCGCAGUAA
RNAcentral lists this ribosomal RNA (508 nucleotides) under uncultured bacterium. RNAcentral's name for it is "partial 16S ribosomal RNA". It matches the Rfam family "Bacterial small subunit ribosomal RNA", at positions 28 to 523 of the family's 1533-position model. The record is from RNAcentral.